This 13593-nucleotide long non-coding RNA is filed under the name Capsicum annuum. Its description in RNAcentral is "long non-coding RNA (CANN_LNC020322)". The stretch from base 3701 to 3786 matches the Rfam family "tRNA". The record is from RNAcentral. Lineage: Eukaryota; Viridiplantae; Streptophyta; Magnoliopsida; Solanales; Solanaceae.
CCAGACAAUGCAUUCAAAGAGACCCGCCAACAGUCAAAUAAUUAGUGAACCUUAGAGAUAGAGAGAUAUAUCUAUAAUUAGUUUGUUUCUCUUCUAUUUUUCUAUCUCCCUUCUAUCUAUUUUCUUUAGUUAUUUACUAGAGCAAUUAUGAUUUAGAAGUCGAUCCGGGGCAAGUGUUCAGAUCUAUUAUGACAUAGCCUUGAGGCAUUCAACGGACCCUUUAACCUUUUAAAAACCUUUUUGGGCUUUGGAUUGAUCCAAAAACGACUUUUUUGUGCAACCUAGUGUAUAUUCAUAGAAGUUAUUAGAUGGAGCUCUUUAAUUUUUUACCUAGAAGAUUGUAAUUACUCUAUUCCAAAUCACGCUAGUAGCCAUUAGACAUUACUAAGAGACAUCCCCGGUAUAUAUAUAUUUAGUGAUUCAAGGGUUUCUUUUAUUAGUUUUAAUACUAAUAACUAAUAAGAAUUUUGUUUAAUUGAAUUUUUUCAUUUUAAUAUUUUUUAAUUUUAAUUUUAAUAUAUUUUAAUUUUAAUAUAAAUAAAUAAUUUUAAUAUAUUAAUAUAAAUAAAUAAAUAAUAAAUAAAUAGAAUAAAAAGAAGUCUAUUUUGUCCUCUAUCUGUCUUUUUUAUUCCUAAAAAAUAGCAGAUGAAUAUAGAAGUGAAAUAGAAGGCUUAGAAGGGAGAUAAUGAAAUUAUGUGAUUGGGUCUUCCAAAAGCAAAGGAAUGAUCCGUUUUUUAGUUAACUGAUCUGAUGGGUCCAACAAACAAUUAAUUAUAACAAACUGAUGGGUCCGACAAACAAUUAAUUAUAACUAAUAAUUAAAUUCUAAAUAAAGGAUAAUAAAUAAAUGGGGUCUUAUUUUAUUCGAAACGUCUCGUGAUCUUCAACCAAUUAUGUGCUUCAAUAUAAUUACCGAGAGUAAGCGCUAUAGCCUAUUUCCAAUACUCAGUGACUUGAUCGAACCAAGCCUCUGCAAUUUCAGAAUAUCCCUGUUAAAGUCCUGUUCUCCCCGGCUGGAAUAGGUAGAACAAUUCCUUCCCUUAGAACCGUACUUGAGAAUUUCUUACCUCAUAUGGCUCAGCAGUCAAUUCUUUUGGUAUCCCAUUUUGAUCUAUACCAUAUCUAUCUAAUCAUAUUUCUCAUGGAUCUAUCCUAGCUUUAGGGUUAAUCAAAAGAAAAAUAGGUUAAUUACAUGAGUUUCAAACUAAAAUUUGGAUUAAUAAUCUGUUUAUUUAGUUUUAUCUUUUUUCCCACAUUCAGAAGAAUAAAGCAUAGGCAUUUCUACUACUGGUAGAAUUUUCUGAAAUAUAACUAUCUCGGUUUCAUAGAUAAAUUUAUAUAUAAUCUUUGAAAAAGACAUUCUUUCAUAAGAAAGAAAAUACUUACUAUCUUUGGGAUUCGAUCCUACACCGCUGCUCAAGACUUUAGUGGAUCGACUCUAUUACAUAAGUUAAUUCCUAAUUCUUAUCUCACAUUAUUAGAUAAGUAUGCAGUUAUUAUUGUAUCGGCCCAAAACCUCACUAAUUGAUCUUUACGGUGCUUCCUCUCUCUCUAUCAAUUAAAGCCUUAUAUCCAUAGAAAAAGUUGCAAGGCAGAUUUAUUUUUUCUUAUUUUGCCUUCUAUGAAGUUUCUUUCUUUGCUACAACUGAUAAAAAUCGUUGUUUUAGACGAUGCAUAUGUAGAAAGCGUAUUUGGUUCUAGUAGUUACUUUACUAGAUUUUUCUUUUUUUUCUUUCUAUAGUGGAGAUAGUCGCACUUAAUGACUGAUCACGGCCAUAUUAUUAAAAGCUUGUGGCAAGAAUGGGUUUCGUUCUAGUGCUCAAAAAUAAUAUUCCAAAGCUUUCGUAUGUUCUCCAUUACUUGUGUGGAUAAGCCCUAUAUUAUAGAGUAUAUAACUUCGAUCAUAGGGAUCAAUUUCUAGUCGCAUAGCUUCAUAAUAAUUCUGCAAAGUUUUCGCAUAAUUUCUUUCGGAUUGAGCCGACAUCUGUUACACUCGUCAUUCAAUUGAAAGAAUCUCCGUUCCAAAACCAUACGUGAGAAUUUCACCUCAUACAGCUCCUCCCAUAUGUGCAUAAUGAGAAUAAUACAUAGAAUUAAAAAAAAAGAUCUAAUGAUGAAAAUAUUCUCAUUAUGAACUCAGCAGGGCUAGUGUUUUUACAAGAAAUCUCUAGCCAACCUUCCUGCAAGAGAUUCUUUCUUAACAUCAAGCCUAUUGGGACUAGAUAGAAAUGAUAAGAUAACUCCAACAAUUUCUUUGUUUUUAACGCCUCCUAAUUUACAGGAAUUAGUCACUUCAAUAGCCUUUGAUGGUUAUAUGGGUAUCCAAAGGACGAACGAGAUGGAUGUUUGUUGUCCCAAACAUUCUUUAAGUCCCAAGCCCACUAAGGGAAGGGCUGACUUAGAAUAAAGUUUUCAUGUUAUUGAUUCCUAGGUGUAGUGCUUCUUCCCCUAUGAUGCCUAUUAGCGCUUGUAAAGUAGGAUUGACCCGUAAUACAGAACCUUUAGGCUUAACCUUUAGCUUAAUACUAGAAUCGGGAAUUGAAACAUAGCAUCUGAGGUUGCAUUAAUCAAGGACACACGACAGAAGGAAUUGUUCGAUUUCCAAACUUCACCUACAAAAAAAGUAGAUUUUUUUUUCAAAAAUUUUCUCAAAUCACGUGUUUUUCUGCUCAUAAGACUGAGAGAAAUGAAUAAAUAUGAAAUAAAAAAAAAGAAUCAAAUCGCACCAUCUCUGUAAUAGGUAAAUGCCUCUUUUUCUCCUGAAGUUGUCGGAAUUACUCGUAAUAAGAUAUUGGCUACAAUUGAAAAGGUCUUAUAAAUAAAAUUUCCAUUUAUACGUGAUCUAGGCAUAGGUAGCAAUCCAUUCUAGAAUUCUUCUCAUUACCUCUCAUGGGAAAAAGAUCCCACAAAGAAAAGAAUUGUAUAGUACGAAAUAACAUAAAACCUUAUUUGUUUUAAGAAAAAAACAAAAGAUAUGAAUCCUCUAUUCCAAUUGUUCCUUUUUGACAGGAGUCGCUAAGAAAUAAGAAAUAUUUCAACGCGAUUUCAUUUCAUACUAAUGUAGUAGUAUAGGAUGUUAUUUCGGUGAAGUUAAAAAUUAAAAGAACUCGAGAAAUUUUGAUUGAAUCAUGAUACAAAUUACAAAGAAGAAAAAAGAUCGAAUAAUCAUUUUAUGAUGAAAAUAGAAUAGCUGACAAUUUUGUGUACAUAAUGGGUAUACACUAUACAAUCGAAUCUCAAUUUUUUUAUGAAUUUCUAUUCUAAUAAAGGGGUAGGUAUUUGUUGUUGAGAACUCCAAAACCGAAAAGGAAUUUGAAAAAUUUUCUGGUAUGGAAUCAUAGUCUAUAUCUAUAUAAUUAGAAUUAUGACUUAAGAGUAGCCAGUAACUAUUGUCUAAAUGAUAUAGACCAUCAAUAAGUUGAUUCGUUCUAAUUCAUUGAAUUAAUCCAUUAUAAAAAUAUCAAAAAAAGAAGGGAACAUUGGUUUUGCAAACAUGAAUUGAAGUUUUUUAACAAUUUUUACAAAAAAUUCUAUCUUUACCCUGGAGCCUCGAAGGAAAGAAAAAUCGUUCUUUGCUUUGACUUUAAUGAAAAAAUUUUAGUUAAAGUUAAAAUAGGUUGGUCGUACCUAGUCCAAUAAUGAAAUAUGGGUUAUGACUAACUUGCUAUUCACUCGGUUUUAGGGACAUAAUCAUUAUGUAGGAGAGAUGGCCGAGUGGUUCAAGGCGUAGCAUUGGAACUGCUAUGUAGGCUUUUGUUACCGAGGGUUCGAAUCCCUCUCUUUCCGUACCUUCAUUUAAUUCAUCAAUUUUACUAACAAAAAGGGCUCAAAUAGCAAUGGAUACUAUUAUUCCAAUAGCUAGACCCUUCUUUGAUCUAAAGAUAUAGAUUCUCAAUUCCUAAUUGCUUUGACGCGAAAAAUAAAAUACUAAAAAAUAAUCAUAAUCAAAAUACUGGAAAGAAAAGAGUAGACAAGGAAUGAAAAUAGACCCUUGGUCUAUGAUACAAAAAUGGGGGAAAUCCAGAUCAAACUCGGAUUUAUCUUACUUAACCUUGGGUUAAUUUACUUCGCUUAAAGGGAAGAAAAUUUUACGAACCCUUGUUUUUAGUUUGAGGUUUAAUUCUGACGAGAAUAAUAUUCUAUGACUAGCAAUUCAUUUAUUUUCAAACCGAACCAUAUACUAUAUAUUAUUGGAUUGACUAAUCCUUUAUAUUGGAAUAGGUGAAGGGUCAAAUGAUUUGGUAAUUCCUCAUGAGGGGAUGAAUCUAGAGAAAUUUGUAUCAGAGCUCUGGAUUUUUGUUCAUCCUUUGCCGUAAUACUAUCUUGGGGUUUGCAGCGAUAACUCGGUAUAUCUACUAUACGACCAUUAACUAAAAUAUGUCGAUGGUUAACUAAUUGACGGGCUGCGGGAAUAGUUGAAGCCAUACCCAAUCGAAAAAGGAUUACCAUGAGCGGAUUGUAUCUAUUGAGUAAAUAUAGGUUCAAUCAAGAUUUGCUUCUCUGGAGGGCCAAAGGCAAGCAUGACAUCAUUAUGAACAUAAAGUCGUAGGGUAUGGAAUCCCAGAAAGAGGCUGGCCCAACAUAAAUGAGAUAUGAUAGCUUCUUUAUGAUCUAACAUUCUUCCCAAUACAUUAUCUUCAUUUUGCUGCGGAUUGUAAUCUCUAAUGAAAAAUAUAGCUCCAUGAGCAAAAGCUCCUAUCAUGAUAAAUCCAGCGAUAAAUUGGAGGUAGGUAUAUAAUGUAGCUUGAGUAGUGAAGUCCUGUGCUAUGAAUGCAUAAGCAGGUAAAGAGUACAUGUGUUGAGCUACCAAAGAAGUAAUAAAGCUAGAUCAAAGCCUCAUUGAAAAUGAAGUGAAUUGUUGAUUGUGUCAUAAAGACCCUUAUGUCCACGCCCCAAUCGCCCCCUGAAGGAAUAUGUCCAUCUAAAAGAUCUUUCAUACUAUGCCCAAUCCUGAAAUUGGUUCUAUACAUAUGACCAGCAACGAGAAAAAUAAAUGCAAUAGCUAAAUAGUGAUGGGCAAUAUAAGUCAACCAUAAACUUUGUAUUUGUGGAUGGAAUCCCCUGAGAAGAGUUAGAAUGGCAGUUCCCACCCCUUGGGCGGUACCAAAUAAAUGACUACUUGAAUUGGGGUUUUGAGCAAAAAGAUUCCAUUGACUUGUAAAAAGUGGGCCUAACCCUUGGGGAUGCGGUAAUACAUCUAAGAAAUUAUUCCACUGAACGUACUCCCCUCUGGAUGCAGGAAUAGCAACAUGGACUAAAUGCCCUGCCCACGGCAAGGAAAUUACGCCAAAAAGUCCUAAAAAAUGAUGAUUCAGACGAGAUUCGGCAUUUUUGAACCAGGAAAUGCUCGGUUUCCAUUUUGGUUGUAGGUGUAACCAACCUGCUAUUAAGCCUAUGGUAGAAAGAAAUAAUAAAAAAAGAGCGCCAGUAUAAAGAUCAUGAUUAGUGCGUAAACCAAUUGUAUACCACCACUGAUAAACACCAGAAUAAGCGAUAUUCACUGGGCCAAGAGCACCCCCUCGAGUAAAAGCUUCCACGGCCGGUUGACCAAAAUGAGGAUCCCAAAUUGCAUGAGCAAUAGGUCUUACAUAUAAAGGGUCCUGUACCCACGACUCAAAAUUUCCUUGCCAACCAAAAGUCCACAGAAAAAUUAUUGCUAAUUGACCGAAGUGAGAAGUAAAAAUAUUCUAAUAAAGACGUUCCUCAGAAAUAUCAUCAUGACUCUCAAAGGCAUGUGCGGUAGCAAUACCAAACCAAAUACGAUAAGUAGUGGGGUACUGAGCUAAGACGGCUAAACCGUGGAAAUCGUAAUGCCAUAAUGCUUUUCAAAUCCUCCUAGCCAUUAUCGUACUGCAAUAAUUCUUGCUAAGAAUGCCCAUGUUGUGGCAAUUCCACCCAGAAGGUAAUGGGUUACUCCUACAGCACGUCAUUGUAUAAUGUUCAAGGCUCUCGGCUGAGUAGCAGGAGCAACUUUUAAUUAUUGUAAGCCCAAACGAUGGAUUAAAUAAGUUCUUGCGAAUAACCACAUCCGUUGAAUAGAAACAUUAAACUAAAAGCCUAGACAAAAUGAGCGCCUAGGAAAAAAAGGCCAUAUGCGGAUAAUGAAGAACCAUAAGACUAAAUUACCUGGGAUGCCUGUGCCCAUAAUAAAUUGCCGAGCCACCCAUUAAUAGUAAUAGAACUCUGCACAAAGUUUCCUCCUGUGAUAUGAGUUACUACCCCUUGAUAACGUAUACUACCUUAAACAUGUGACUGCAUUUUCCAACUGAAAUGGAAUAUUACUACAGAAAUUAAAUUGUACAUCCAGAAUAGUCCUAAGAAGACAUGAUCCCAGGCCGAUACUUGACAUGUACCCCCUCUUCCAGGUCCAUCACAAGGAAAACGAAAACCAGGAUUUGCCUUAUCAAGUAUUAAACUAGAACUGCGAGCAAAUAGAAUACCUUUCAAGAGUAUCAAUACCAUCACAUUAAUCGUAAAUGCAUGAAUAUGAUGUACCAAGAAAUUGGUGGUUUCUAAUGAAAUAGGCAACAAAGCCACCUUGCCACCCACUGCCACUAAAUCACCACCCCCCUAAGUUAAACUGGUGCUUGCUGUUGCACCAGGAGUCGUUGCACCAGGUGCUAAAGCAUGGGUGUUGUGUAUCCAUUGAGCAAAAAUAGGUUGUAAUUGUAUAGUGGUAUCUGAAAACAUAUCUUGAGGAAGCCAUAAAGCGUUUAUGGUAUCAUUAUUAAUAUACACACCAAAACUAUAAAAGCCUAAAAAUAUACAUACCCAGUUGAGAUGGGAUAUGAUUGCAUCACGAUACCUAAGGACACGAUCUCAUAGAUCGUUGUAUCGUGUAGGUUGAUCAUAAUCUCUUACCAUAAAAAUGACUGCAUGCGCGGCAGCACCAAUUAUGAGAAAUCCACUAAUCCACAUGUGAUGUGCGAACAAUGACAGUUGUGUACCAUAGUCAGUAGCUAGAUAUGGAUAAGGGGGCAUGGAAUACAUAUGAUGAGCUACAACAAUGGUUAAAGAGCCUAACAUAGCUAAGUUAAGAGAUAAUUGAGCAUGCCAUGACGUUGUUAGGAUCUCAUAUAGGCCUUUAUGGCCCUGACCCAUAAAUGGGCCUUUAUGGGCUUCUAAAAUAUCUUUUAGAAUAUAACCAAUACCUCAGUUGGUCUUAUACAUGUAACCCGCUAUCUGGAAAAGAAUUGCAAUAGCUAAAUGGUGAUGGGCAAUAUCAGUGAGCCAUAAACCCCCAGUUACUGGAUCUAAUCCUCCAUAAAAAGUAAGAAAGUCUGAUAUUCUGACCAAUUCAAAGCGCAAAAUGGGGUCGCUCCCUCGGCAAAAUUGGGAUAAACUUGAGCCAAAAGAUCUCGAUUCAAGAUAAAUUCAUGAGGAAGUGGUAUCUCUUUAGGAUCUACUCCAGUGUUUAGGAAUUGGUUAUCGGUAAAGAUACGUGUACUUGAUGCCCCGCCCAAGAGGGAGACCCAAGUCUUAGUAGCCCUGCCAAAUGGUGAUUCAUCAUAGAUUCUACAUCUUGAAACCAAGCCAAUUUUGGUGCCGCUUUAUGAUAAUGAAACCAACCAAAAAAAAGCAUUAACGCUGCGAAGACCAAUGCCCCAAUUUCUAUACAAUAGAGUUGUAAUUCACUAGUUAUUCCAGAUGCUCGCCAAAUUUGAAAAAAACUAGAGGUUAUUUGAAUUCCUCGGAAACCCCUACCUACGUCACCAUUUAAUAUUUCUUAGCCCACUAUUGGCCAAAUCACCUGCGCACUAGGCCCAAUGUGAGUUGGAUCACUUAGCCACGCUUCAUAAUUAGAAAAACGAGCACCGUGGAAAUACAUGCCGCUCAGCCAAAGAAAGAUGAUGGAGAGUUGACCGAAAUGUCCACUAAAUACUUUUCAAGAGAUCUCCUCCGAAACACUGGUAUGGCUAUCGAAAUCGUGAGCAUCAGCAUGUUGGUUCUUGAUCCAAGUGGUAGUAUCAGGCCCUUUAGCAAUUGUUCUUGAGAAAUUACUUGAUCUGGCCCAUUCCUCGAAAGAAGUUUUUAUGGGAUCCCUAUCUACCAAAAUUUUAACUUCUGGUUCUGGCGAACAAAUAAUCAUUGAGUCCUCCUCUUUUCGGACAAUGCAUACAAAGAGACCCGCCAAUAGUCAAAUAAUUAGUGAACCUUAGAGAUAGAGAGAUAUUUCUAUAAUUAGUUCGUUUCUCUUCUAUUUUUCUAUCUCCCUUCUAUCUAUUUUCUUUAGUUAUUUACUAGAGCAAUUAUAAUCUAGAAGUCGAUCCGGGGCAAGUGUUUAGAUCUAUUAUGACAUAGCCUUGAGGCGCUCAACGGACCCUUUUACCUUUUAAAAACCUUUUUGGGCUUUGGAUUGAUCCAAAAACGACUUUUUUGUGCAACCUAGUGUAUAUUCAUAGAAGUUAUUAGAUGGAGCUUUUUAAUUUUUUACCUAGAAGAUUGUAAUUACUCUAUUCCAAAUCACGCUAGUAGCCAUUAGACAUUACUAAGAGACAUCCCCGGUAUAUAUAUAUUUAGUGAUUCAAGGGUUUCUUUUAUUAGUUUUAAUACUAAUAACUAAUAAGAAUUUUGUUUAAUUGAAUUUUUUCAUUUUAAUAUUUUUUAAUUUUAAUUUUAAUAUAUUUUAAUUUUAAUAUAAAUAAAUAAUUUUAAUAUAUUAAUAUAAAUAAAUAAAUAAUAAAUAAAUAGAAUAAAAAGAAGUCUAUUUUGUCCUCUAUCUGUCUUUUUUAUUCCUAAAAAAUAGCAGAUGAAUAUAGAAGUGAAAUAGAAGGCUUAGAAGGGAGAUAAUGAAAUUAUGUGAUUGGGUCUUCCAAAAGCAAAGGAAUGAUCCGUUUUUUAGUUAACUGAUCUGAUGGGUCCAACAAACAAUUAAUUAUAACAAAUAUCUAAAUUCUAAAUAAAGGAUAAUAAAUAAAGGGGGUCUUCUUUUAUUCGAAACGUCUCGUGAUCUUCAACCAAUUAUGUGCUUCAAUAUAAUUACCGGGAGUAAGCGCUAUAGCCUAUUUCCAAUACUCAGCGGCUCGAUCGAACCAAGCCUCUGCAAUUUCAGAAUCUCCCUGUUGAAUGGCCUAUUUUCCCCGGCCGAAAUAGGUAGUUCAAUUCCUACCCUUAGAACCGUACUUGAGAAUUUCUUACCUUAUACGGCUCAGCAGUCAAUUCUUUUGGUGUCCCAUUUUUAUCUAUACCAUAUCUAUCUAAUUAGAUUUCUCAUGGAUCUAUGCUAGCUUUAGGGUUAACCAAAAGAAAAAUAGGUUAAUUACAUGAGUUUCAAACUGAAAUUUGGAUGAAUAAUUCGUUUAUUUAGUUUUAUCUUUUUUCCCACCUUCAGAAGAAUAAAGCAUAAUGAAUUACUAUUUUUAUUAACAGCAUUUAACCAACCCGGCAACCAAAUGCUUCGACCCGCAUUAAAUGCUGGGCCACUCAUUGAAAAUAAAACUACAUCAAACCCAUAUGAAGUUUGACCAUGAACGGAUUGUAUCCAUUGAGCAAAUAUAGGUUCAAUCAAGAUUUUCUUCUCUGGAGUGCCAAAGGCAAGCAUGACAUCAUUAUGAACAUAAAGUCCUAGGGUAUGGAACCCCAGAAAGAGACUGGCCCAAAUUAAAUGAGAUAUGAUAGCUUCUUUAUGAUCUAACAUUCUUGCCAAUACAUUAUCUUCAUUUUGAUCCUGAUUGUAAUCUCUAAUGAAAAAUAUAGCUCCAUGAGCAAAAGCUCCUGUCAUGAUGAAUCCUGCGAUAUAUUGGUGGUGGGUAUAUGAUGGAGCUUGAGUAGUGACGUCCUCUGCUAUGAAUGCAUAAGCAGGUAAAGAGUACAUAUGUUGAGCUACCAAAGAAGUAAUAACCCCUAAAGAAGAUAGAGCAAGGCCUAAUUGAAAAUGAAGUGAAUUGUUGAUUGUGUCAUAAAGACCCUUAUGUCUACGCCCCAAUCGCCCCUCAAUGGAAUAUGUGCAUCUAGAUCUUUUAUAUUGUGCCCAAUCCCGAAAUUGGUUCUAUACAUAUGACCAGCAACGAGAAAAAUAAAUACAAUAGCUAAAUGGUGAUGGGCAAUAUCAGUCAACCAUAAACUUUGCAUUUGUGGAUGGAAUCCCUCGAGAAGAGUUAGAAUGGCAGUUCCUGCCCCUUGGGCGGUACCAAAUAAAUGAGUACUUGAAUCGGGGUUUUGAGCAUAAAGAUUCCAUUGACCUGUAAAAAGUAGGCCUAACCCUUCGGGAUGUGGUAAUACAUCUAAGAAAUUAUUCCACCGAAAAUACUACCCUUUGGAUGCAGGAAUAGCAACAUGGACUAAAUGUCCUAUCCAAGCCAAGGAACUUAUGCCAAAAAGUCCUGACAAAUGAUGAUUCAGACGAGAUUCGGCAUUUUUGAACCAGGAAACGCUUGGUUUCCAUUUUAGUUGUAGGUGUAACCAACCUGCUAUUAAGGAUAUGGCAGAAAGAAAUAAUAGAAAAAGAGUGCCAGUAUAAAGAUCUUGAUUAGUGCGUAAACCAAUUGUAUACCACCACUGAUAAACACCAAAAUAAGCGAUAUUCACUCGGCCAAGAGCACCCCCUCGAGUAAAAGCUUUCACGGCCGAUUGACCAAAAUAAAGAUCCUAAAUUACAUGAGCAACAGGUCUUACAUGUAAAGGGUCUUGUACCCACGACUCAAAAUUUACUUGCUAAGCUACAUGAAACAGAUUUCCGAAAGUCCACAGAAAAAUUAUAUCUAAUUGACCGAAAUGAGAAGCAAAAAUAUUCUGAUAAAGACAUUCCUCAGUAAUAUCAUCAUGACUCUCGAAGUUAUGUGCGGUGCAAUACCAAACUAAAUACGACGAGUAGUGGGGUGCUGAGCUAAACCUUGGCUAAACCUUGAAAAUCGUAAUGCCAUAAUGCUUUUCAAAUACUCCUAGCCAUUAUACUACUGCAAUAAUUCUUGCUAAGAAGAAUGCCCAUGUUGUGGCAAUUUCACCCAGAAGGUAAUGGGUUACUCCUACAGCACGUCUUUGUAUAAUGCUCAAGGCUCUUGGCUGAGUAGCAAGAGCAAAUUUUAAUUAUUAUGAGCCCAAACGAUGGAUUCAGUAAGUUCUUGCCAAUAACCACAUCCGCUGAAUAGAAAUAUUAAACUAAAAGCCCAGACAAAAUGAGCGCCUAGGAAAAAAAGGCCAUAUGCGGACAAUGAAGAACCAUAAGACUAAAUUAGCUGGGAUACCUGUGCCCAUAAGAAAUCGCCGAGCCACCCAUUAAUAGCAAUAGAACUCUGCGCAAAGUUUCCUCCCAUGAUAUAAGUUACUACCCAUUGAUCACUUACACCACCCUAAAUAUCUAAUUGCAUUUUCCAACUGAAAUGGAAUAUUACUACAAAAAUUGAAUUGUACAACCAGAAUAGUCCUAAGAAGACAUGAUCCCAGGCCGAUACUUGACAUGUACCCCCUCUUCCAGGUCCAUCACAAGGAAAACAAAAACCAAGAUUUGCCUUAUCCAAUAUUAAAGGAGAACUGUGAGCAAAUAGAACACCUUUUAAGAGUAUCAAUACUGUCACAUGAAUCAUAAAUGCAUGAAUGUGAUGUACCAAGAAAUUAGUGGUUCCUAAUGAAAUAGGCAACAAAGCCACCUUGCCACCCACUGCCACUAAAUCACCACCCCCCACGUUAAACUGGUGCUUGCUGUUGCACCAGGGGCCAUUGCACUAGGUGCUAAAGCAUGGGUGUUUUGUAUCCAUUGAGCAAAAACGGGUUGUAAUUGUAUAGCGGUAUCUGAAAAAAUAUCUUCAGGAAUCCCUAAGGCGCUCAUGGUAUCAUUAUGAAUAUACAAACCAAAAUUGUGAAAACCUAGAAAUAUACAUGCCCAGUUGAGAAGGGAUAUGAUUGUAUCACGAUGCCUAAGGACACGAUCUAAUAGAUCAUUGUACCGAGUAGUUGGAUCAUAAUCUCUUACCAUAAAAAUGGCUGCAUGAGCGGCAGAACCAACUAUGAGAAAUCCACCAAUCCACAUGUGAUGUGUGAACAAUGACAGUUGUGUAAUAUAGUCAGUAGCUAGAUAGGGAUAAGGGGGCAUAGAAUACAUAUGAUGAUCUACAACAAUCGUUAAAGAGCCUAACAUAGCUAAGUUAAGAGAUAAUUAAGCAUGCCAUAACAUUGUUAGGUUCUCAUAUUGGCCUUUAUGGCCCUAACCUAUAAAUGGACCUUUAUGGGCUUUUAAAAUAUUUUUCAGUCCAUGACCAAUACCCUAGUUGGUCUUAUACAUGUGACCCACUAUCAGGAAAAGAAUUGCAGAGCUAAAUGGUGAUGGGCAAUAUCAGUUGUCCACAAACCCCCAGUUAUUGGAUCUAAUCCUCUACGAAAAGUAAGAAAGUCAGCAUAUUUUGACCAAUCCAAGGUGUAAAAUGGGGUUGCUCCCUCGGCAAAACUGGGAUAAACUUGAGCCAAAAGAUCUCGAUUCAAGAUAAAUUCAUGAGGAAGUGAUAUCUCUUUAGGAUCUACUCCAGCAUUUAGAAAUUGGUUAAUCGGUAAAGAUACGUGUACUCGAUGCCCCGCCCAACAGAGAGACCCAAGUCCUAGCAGCCCUGCCAAAUGGUGAUUCAGCAUAGAUUCUAUAUCUUGAAACCAAGCCAUUUUUGGCUCCACUUUAUGAUAAAGAAACCAACCAGCAAAAAGCAUUAAUGCUGCAAAGACCAAUGCCCCAAUUGCUGUACAAUAGAGUUGUAAUUCACUAGUUAUUCUAGAUGCUCGCCAAAUCUGAAAAAAAACUAGAGGUUAUUUGUAUUCCUCGGAAACCCCCGCCUACGUCACCAUUUAAUAUUUCUUGGCCCACUAUUGGCCAAACCACCUGGGCACUAGGCCCAAUGUGAGUUGGAUCACUUAGCCACGCUUCAUAAUUAGAAAAACGAGCACCGUGGAAAUACAUGCCGCUCAGCCAAAGAAAGAUGAUGGAGAGUUGACCGAAAUGUGCACUAAAUACUUUUCGAGAGAUCUCCUCCAAAUCACUGGUAUGGCUAUCGAAAUCGUGAGCAUCAGCAUGUAGGUUCCAGAUCCAAGUGGUAGUAUCAGGCCCUUUAGCUAUUGUUCUUGAGAAAUGACCCGGUCUGGCCCAUUCCUCGAAAGAAGUUUUUACGGGAUCCCUAUCUACCAAAAUUUUAACUUCUGGUUCCGGCGAACGAAUAAUCAUUGAGUCCUCCUCUUUCCGGACAACACAUACAAAGAGACCCGCCAACAGUCAAAUAAUUAGUGAACCUUAGAGAUAGAGAGAUAUUUCUAUAAUUAGUUCGUUUCUCUUCUAUUUUUCUAUCUCCCAUCUAUCUAUUUUCUUUAGUUAUUUACUAGAGCAAUUAUGAUCUAGAAGUCGAUCCGGGGCAAGUGUUCAGAUCUAUUAUGACAUAGCCUUGAGGCGCUCAACGGACCCUUUAACCUUUUAAAAACCUUUUUGGGCUUUGGAUUGAUCCAAAAACGACUUUUUUGUGCAACCUAGUGUAUAUUCAUAGAAGUUAUUAGAUGGAGCUCUUUAAUUUUUUACCUAGAAGAUUGUAAUUACUCUAUUCCAAAUCACGCUAGUAGCCAUUAGACAUUACUAAGAGACAUCCCCGGUAUAUAUAUAUUUAGUGAUUCAAGGGUUUCUUUUAUUAG